This 407-nucleotide ribosomal RNA is filed under the name uncultured bacterium. RNAcentral's name for it is "partial 16S ribosomal RNA". It matches the Rfam family "Bacterial small subunit ribosomal RNA", at positions 28 to 526 of the family's 1533-position model. The record is from RNAcentral.
GAUGAACGCUAGCUAUAGGCUUAACACAUGCAAGUCGAGGGACCGGCGCACGGGUGAGUAACGCGUAUCCAACCUGCCCAUAACUAAGGGAUAACCCAGCGAAAGUUGGACUAAUACCUUAUGGUUAUGGAUGGGGAUGCGUUUGAUUAGCUUGUUGGCGGGGUAACGGCCCACCAAGGCAACGAUCCGUAGGGGUUCUGAGAGGAAGGCCCACCACAUUGGAGCUGAGACACGGCCCAAACACGGACGGGAGGCAGCAGUGAGGAAGAUUGGGCAAUGGAGGCAAGUAUGAACCAGCCAAGUAGCGUGAAGGAGGACGGCCUAGGGGUUGUAAACUGGUGGUAUAUGGGGAUAGGUACCAUAUGAAUAAGGACCGGCUAAUUCCGUGCCAGCAGCCGCGGUAAUUC